GCUCCGCCCCGCGGCGAGUCCCGAGGUCAACUGCCCUCCCGGCCAGGGCUCAGGACCUUCGUCCCCGCUGUCUUGGGGGACAGAGCAGAGGAACUGAAUGGUUGGGGCCUCUUUGAGGGGCCUCUCUGGUGACCGAAUCCAACUCUCUCUGAGCUUCUGAGUUUUUGAGGCAACUGUUGACAGACUGCGUUUUCCCAGCCAGAACAGCCAACAUUUCUAGGGAUUUCUUCGCAGCUUUUGUUGUUAAACUACCGCCUAACACUUUGUGAGCCCCACCAUGUGCAUAUCUUGGUUAGCAAUUAAUCUAGAGUGGUCCAAGAGAAUGCAGGAAGGCUGCAUCCUGGAACACACGUGCCUGCAAUAGGUCAGAGCAGCUGUUGGCACUCUCUGGGCAGGGAAACUGACAGCAGCUCUUUACUCUGCCCCCUGCAGCCGUUCUGCAGCGGUGAGAACAGCGGCGUUAAAACAGCGGCGUUAAAACAGGCUGGGCCCUGCCCCUGCCUCUUUUUCACCUUCCCUGAUCCAGCCGGCCUCCACCUGCCGACCUUCACCUGCCCGGGCCCAUGUUACCCCUUAACCAUGUCUUUUCCUUGGCGCUCGGCAUGUUUCUUUUUCAGCUGUGACUCCGUUCCAUUCAUGCUCUAGACUUACACCUGAAACCGUUUCUCAGAACCUUCCAGUGGAAGCUGACUUGUGCUCUUGGAUGCAAAAAGUGGCCGUUUAAACAAACAAAAGCCUGUUCAGCCAGAGUGGGUUCCAAGAUUUGGAAAAGUCCAGAUUCUCCUGGAAGAAAUUGUAGCUGUGCCCAUUCUCACCAGCAAUGGUAGGGGGUUGUUGAGUUUCUUCACAAGAUUACUGACUCAUGCCUUUUGCUAAUCAGUAGCAACAGGAGCCAAACUUGGAUUCAUCCUGAUAAAGCAGACAUUUGGGACUUCAUGUGAUCUAAUUGCUCUGAGCUGUUCCUUAAUCCCCAUUCGCUAAACCUUUGCAUCGUUGCCCACAAUGGCAUAAACGACCUUGAUCCAGGAUUGCAAAAUGGUCUACCCAACAAAGAAGCCUCAUAAUUGUUGAUGUGGCUGAGAUUCUCUAAUGCACCCUUCCUUGUUUUUAUUUUUUGUUCUAAGAAUUAUUUAAGUAAAAGAACAAAGCAAAUCUUAAACUUGUCUCUGUGAUAAGGUGAACCUCGGAAGGCAAAGUCCAUUUCUUCAUUCAUCUCUGCAUUCACAGCAACAGUUGCAGCCUUGCCCUCUUGCCCUGCAGCCAUCGCUGUGAGAAGAGCACAUCCUAGCAGAACCCGUGAUGGAGAGGAGGUUGCCCUGCAGUGAAACAGAGCUGCCCCAGCUGCCCAGCCUGCUGUGGAGCCUGCAGCCCAGCCCAGCCCAGGUCAGCGAAACUACAGCAGACUCACGAAGGCAUCGGCAGUAGUAAAUACCUAUUGUGUUAAGCCCCUGAGUUCU
Gorilla gorilla gorilla (western lowland gorilla) is the source of this 1457-nucleotide long non-coding RNA. RefSeq lists it as uncharacterized. The record is from RefSeq and is a predicted model, not a curated record. Lineage: Eukaryota; Metazoa; Chordata; Mammalia; Primates; Hominidae. The transcript is spliced from 4 exons.